RNAcentral lists this transfer RNA (73 nucleotides) under Marmota monax (woodchuck). RNAcentral's name for it is "tRNA.Ala". Lineage: Eukaryota; Metazoa; Chordata; Mammalia; Rodentia; Sciuridae. The record is from RNAcentral.
UGGGGUGUAGCUCAGUGGUAAGAGUGCAUACUUAGCAUGCACAAGGCCCUGGAUUCAAUCCCCAGCACUUAAU